UGCAAGUCGAACGGCAGCGCGGGGGCUUCGGUCUCUGGCGGCGAGUGGCGGACGGGUGAGUAAUAUAUGGGAACGCGCCCGGCGGCGGGGGAUAACUCUGGGAAACCAGAGCUAAUACCGCAUGCGUUUCGCCUUUCGGGGCGAAAGAAAGCGGGGGACUUCUUCGGAGGCCUCGCACCGGCGGAGCGGCCCAUAUCCGAUUAGCUUGUUGGCGGGGUAACAGCCCACCAAGGCCGCGAUCGGUAGCUGGUCUGAGAGGACGGACAGCCACACCGGGACUGAGACACGGCCCGGACUCCUACGGGAGGCAGCAGUGGGGAAUAUUGGACAAUGGGGGCAACCCUGAUCCAGCAAUGCCGCGUGUGUGAAGAAGGCCUUCGGGUUGUAAAGCACUUUCGCGGGGGAAGAAAAAGCGAGGGGUAAUAUCUCUCGCGCCUGACGGUACCCCGAGAAGAAGCACCGGCUAACUACGUGCCAGCAGCCGCGGUAAUACGUAGGGUGCGAGCGUUAAUCGGAAUUACUGGGCGUAAAGCGUGCGCAGGCGGCCUGUCAAGUCGGGUGUGAAAUCCCCGGGCUCAACCCGGGAAUUGCGCUUGAAACCGGCGGGCUAGAGUACGGCAGAGGAAGGUGGAAUUCCGUGUGUAGCGGUGAAAUGCGUAGAUAUACGGAAGAACACUCAUGGCGAAGGCAUCCUUCUGGGCCGUAACUGACGCUCAUGCACGAAAGCGUGGGGGAGCAAACAGGAAU
This 747-nucleotide ribosomal RNA is filed under the name uncultured bacterium. Its description in RNAcentral is "bacterial SSU rRNA". It matches the Rfam family "Bacterial small subunit ribosomal RNA", at positions 56 to 779 of the family's 1533-position model. The record is from RNAcentral.